This 67-nucleotide transfer RNA is filed under the name Narcetes shonanmaruae. RNAcentral's name for it is "Alepocephalidae sp. MK-2017 tRNA-Ser". The record is from RNAcentral. Lineage: Eukaryota; Metazoa; Chordata; Actinopteri; Alepocephaliformes; Alepocephalidae.
GAGAGAGGCCCGAAGCUGAUAGAGGCUGCUACCCCUAAACCCGCGGUUUAACUCCACGGCUCACUCG